Cucurbita maxima (winter squash) is the source of this 1197-nucleotide long non-coding RNA. RefSeq lists it as uncharacterized. Lineage: Eukaryota; Viridiplantae; Streptophyta; Magnoliopsida; Cucurbitales; Cucurbitaceae. The record is from RefSeq and is a predicted model, not a curated record. The transcript is spliced from 2 exons.
UAUAAAUACUGAAAUCCGAAUCGUGACAAUCCACGGCAACCCAUCGAAUUACAUUCAUUCGUUUUCUCUUUUCUUCGUCAGUUUCCCGCCAAAGUUGAGUUAGGGACUUCGACAGGGGAACUAUUAUCCCAAGUGAUUCUAUGCAACCGGAAUUCCUUUGUUUGUCUGCGAUCUUCUCUUGCUGCGAUCGAAAUCGAUCGGGGAAAUCUACCGUCGUAUCAAUCGCGCCAAAUUUGGUUCCUCGAAUUUCUUUCUUGUGCUACAGCUUUCCGAUGCCAAAAAACCUAAUUCCUUGAGAUUUGGCAUUUCGAUUACCUGCUUCUUUUUUUUUUUUUUUUUUUUUCCCUAAUGCCUCUAUUGCUGCCAGGAGUUUAGAGUUUCGGUCCUUUGUUUUAUCAUGGAGCACUCUGCAGCGGAGGAUCUCGAAGGUCCCGAGUCAGGGAGGUCGCUGAGAUGGAUGAGGCCUUGAAACGAUGGACACUGGCCUCCGCUUCUACCAAUCAAAAUUCUAAUGCCUUGGAGCAUUCCGUUGGCGGUGCUGCUCGCUCAGAUCGUUCGGUUCCUGCUGAAGUAUCCGAGGAUUCUAUCACUCAGGUUGGUCGGUUCCUUCUCGAGGACUUUCAGAAUCCUUGAGUCGCCCAUGCUUGACGCGAUUGGCGCGGCAAAUAUUAAAAGGUAUGGUGGUUUAGAGAGUUAUUUGGCCUUAUAGUGCAAGCGUUGGUGCAACACUCCAACCACGCAUAUUUGUGAAUUCCUCUCCUUUUAUUCAUCGUCAUGAGCAAGUUCAUCAGCCCCUUUCUCAGGUAAUAAACCCUUCCUUCUGCAUAACUUAUUUUGCCAUCUCCCUUUAUUUCCGUUAUGGAUUAUAAGAUUGAUUGAGAAUCACAACCGAUAAGAGCUCUCCUUUCCUUUUGCCUCCUAUGAUGUUGAGAUGUUAUUUUCUCUCGCUCAACAUAUAUUAUCUCCUCCGUAAAAGAAUACAAAACCAUAUAAUAUUAGGUAACCAAUUCGUUUAUUAUUUUCAUGUUGAUCUCAGCUCGAGUAAUAUAGUAUUGUAUCAAGCACGGUUAUAACACAGUCGUUUGGCAUGUAAUUUUAAGGUCCAGUGUUUAAUAAUGAAUCAACGAAGGUGGUAAGGGAAGUCAUUUGCUUGACUUCGCUGCUAAUGGCUUCCUCUCGCAGGCACCAAUUUUUUUU